Molecule: RNase P RNA, 357 nt
Filed under: marine eukaryotic metagenome
Description: Bacterial RNase P class A
Rfam family: Bacterial RNase P class A
About the family: Ribonuclease P (RNase P) is a ubiquitous endoribonuclease, found in archaea, bacteria and eukarya as well as chloroplasts and mitochondria. Its best characterised activity is the generation of mature 5'-ends of tRNAs by cleaving the 5'-leader elements of precursor-tRNAs.
Source: RNAcentral
GAGUCAGCCGGGCAAUUGCUGUUCUCAUUUUUCCGUAAGUGAGGAGAGAGGAAAGUCCGGGCUCCGAAGAGCAGAGUGCCAGGUAACUCCUGGGAGGCGCGAGCCUACGGCUAGUGCAGCAGAAAACAAACCGCCACGGCACCUCGGUGCGGAGGUAAGGGUGAAAUGGUGCGGUAAGAGCGCACCGCGCGACUGGUAACAGUUCGUGGCAAGGUAAACCCCACUCGGAGCAAGGCCAAAUAGGAAUCAUUUAAUGCUGCUCGCAUUUGAUUCGGGUAGGCCGCUAAAGAUUUGUGGUGACUCAAAUCUUAGAUGAAUAAUUGUCCUAGACAGAACCCGGCUUAUAGGCUGGCUCAA